This 314-nucleotide unclassified non-coding RNA is filed under the name plant metagenome. RNAcentral describes it as "partial contains 5.8S ribosomal RNA, internal transcribed spacer 2, and large subunit ribosomal RNA". The stretch from base 1 to 105 matches the Rfam family "5.8S ribosomal RNA", at positions 50 to 154 of the family's 154-position model. The record is from RNAcentral.
GAAAUGCGAUAAUUAAUGUGAAUUGCAGAAUUCAGUGAAUCAUCGAGUCUUUGAACGCACAUUGCGCCCCCUGGUAUUCCGGGGGGCAUGCCUGUCCGAGCGUCAUUGCCGCCCUCAAGCACGGCUUGUGUGUUGGGCUUCCGUCCCUGGCAACGGGGACGGGCCCAAAAGGCAGUGGCGGCACCAUGUCUGGUCCUCGAGCGUAUGGGGCUUUGUCACCCGCUCCCGUAGGUCCAGCUGGCAGCUAGCCUCGCAACCAAUCUUUUUAACCAGGUUGACCUCGGAUCAGGUAGGGAUACCCGCUGAACUUAAGC